CAGCAGGCAACUGCAAUUCUUACGAUUCUUGCUACAAGUUCUAGUGUUGAAAGAGGAUUGAUCUAGCAACAAAAUGAAAAUUCUGAUUUUGGAAUAAAAGCGCCAACUGUUGCAGUACAAAAUUGAGAGCAUUAGUCCAAGAAAGCGAGGAUCUUUUGUCCAUUACCCAACUUGCUGAAAUUGUUGAAAAUAGUCAUGGAUUACAGAAAUUUACCUUAAUCAAACAUGUCAUAUGCAAAAUUUUUCCUUUUGUUAAAGAGUUGGUUCUUGAUGGUACCAUAGUAUUUUGUGGCUUUCAAAGAUUCUCGUGUUGUGAAGAUUAACUUUCUAAGAAGAAAAUUAAACUCAAAGAGAUGGUAGUUAAGAUGUGGUGGAGGCAGAGGAAAAGUUUCAGGCAAUAAGAAUUCUGUGCUUACAAGGUGUUUGUGGAAAUGUAGAGAAGAGAGAAUGGUCUAUCAAAGCAAGUUCAGUCCAAAAGACGAGCCUUCAAUUUGGGAAAACCAGUCUAUCAAGCUCAAAUUCCUGAAUUCUUCCUUGGGGACAAGGAAGAUCUCCAGAGGGGGUAACGUUAAGG
RNAcentral lists this unclassified non-coding RNA (574 nucleotides) under Hevea brasiliensis (rubber tree). The record is from RNAcentral. Lineage: Eukaryota; Viridiplantae; Streptophyta; Magnoliopsida; Malpighiales; Euphorbiaceae.